RNAcentral lists this ribosomal RNA (394 nucleotides) under uncultured bacterium. RNAcentral's name for it is "partial 16S ribosomal RNA". It matches the Rfam family "Bacterial small subunit ribosomal RNA", at positions 523 to 918 of the family's 1533-position model. The record is from RNAcentral.
AUACGGAGGAUGCAAGCGUUAUCCGGAUUUAUUGGGUUUAAAGGGUGCGUAGGCGGAUGAUUAAGCGUGAGGUGAAAUGCCACUGCUCAACAGUGGAACUGCCUCGCGAACUGGUUGUCUUGAAUGCUCCUGCCGUGGGAGGAAUGUGUGGUGUAGCGGUGAAAUGCAUAGAGAUCACACAGAACACCGAUUGCGAAGGCAUCUCACGAAGGGGUGAUUGACGCUGAGGCACGAAAGCGUGGGGAUCAAACAGGAUUAGAUACCCUGGUAGUCCACGCAGUAAACGAUGAUAACUAACCGCUGGGUCGUAGUGAUUCAGUGGCCAAGCGAAAGCGAUAAGUCAUCCACCUGGGGAGUACGUUCGCAAGAAUGAAACUCAAAUGAAUUGGCGGGG